ACUCUGACAGCUCAGUUGGUAGAGCGGAGGACUGUAGCAGGUACAGUGGCAAUCCUUCGGUCACUGGUUCGACUCUGGAUUCCUGCG
This is a non-coding RNA of Danionella cerebrum, 87 nucleotides long. The record is from the annotation of a GenBank genome assembly. Lineage: Eukaryota; Metazoa; Chordata; Actinopteri; Cypriniformes; Danionidae.